UACAGAGGGUGCGAGCGUUAAUCGGAAUUACUGGGCGUAAAGCGUGCGUAGACGGCUAUCUAAGUCGGGUGUGAAAGCCCCGGGCUCAACCUGGGAAUUGCAUUCGAGACUGAAUAGCUAGGGUACGGUAGAGGGAAGUGGAAUUUCCGGUGUAGCGGUGAAAUGCGUAGAUAUCGGAAGGAACAUCAGUGGCGAAAGCGGCUUCCUGGACCAGCACCGACGUUCAGGCACGAAAGCGUGGGGAGCAAACAGG
This 253-nucleotide ribosomal RNA is filed under the name uncultured bacterium. RNAcentral's name for it is "partial 16S ribosomal RNA". It matches the Rfam family "Bacterial small subunit ribosomal RNA", at positions 524 to 776 of the family's 1533-position model. The record is from RNAcentral.